This 3103-nucleotide unclassified non-coding RNA is filed under the name Polistes canadensis. RNAcentral's name for it is "rING finger and SPRY domain-containing protein 1- like, transcript variant X1". The record is from RNAcentral. Lineage: Eukaryota; Metazoa; Arthropoda; Insecta; Hymenoptera; Vespidae.
AUAGAAAGAGUGUAAAAGAGGAGGGGAGAAUAAGUUUUCCUAUUGACAACACUUGUUCGUGGAUAAAUAAUAUAAUUUUAUUGCUUUCUGAUAAUCGAUAUAAAAAUAUAUAAGAGAUGUACUGAUUAAUUGAUUUUAUAAUUAUAUUAGCGUAGUUCGAAGCCUUCUUUUAUAACUUCAGUAUAUUGAUAGACAUUGGGACUACUUGAGUCCUGUUAUGCUUAUAUUUCUGUUGUGAGACCACCAAGAACAUAACCUCUAAAAACGGAUCUGCAGAUUGUGUUCUUUAUUUCAAUGGGGAUUAUUAAAGAUAAAAAUUUAACAUGGUCAAUUCGUGAAAGUUGGUAAAUAUUAUUAAACAUGACUGUGAUUAAAAACGAUAAAACCAAACAAUGAAUUAGAAAUAAUUAUUGAAAUAAGUUGAUAAUAAAUUAAGACUGAUUGCAAUUUUAAUUAUAAAUUUUAAGCUUUAAUUAUAUUUGGAUAUAUAAUCAAUGCAAUACUGAGCACAGUAUAUUAAGAACAUAUUUGUUUGAAAUCUAGUUUAAUAAUGAUAGGAGGACAUGAAUUUUCCUAUUAGCAUUUUACUGCUCUAUAUGGAUAUUGAAUUUAAAAAUACAGAUGUUAUUUGUUUGUAUUUAUAUAGUGCAUGCAUUUUACAUAGUUGUAUAGAACUUAGAAAAUUAUUAUAAAAUUAGUGGGAAUGGGCAAUUGUCUGUGUAAUGACACUCCGGAAGAUCUUGAAACAUAUAAUGAACAUCAAAAUCGUGCAGAGUCUGAAGAUACUAUAUUACCUCAAGCAAAUGUAAGCAUGAUAGUACCUGACGAUUCAACAACAGCAACUUUCAUGUUCCCAACAUCAACUGCUAUUGAUAUGCUUGUACUUGAAACGCUUGGGGUUAUUGGCUCUCUAGUUGAUAAUGAUCAAGAACCUCCACCUGCUAUGUCAAAAUUACAUAUAAUUGCAGAUAAAGAGGAUGGUUGGAUACAAGUUGUCAGUUCUAUGAUAAAUGUUAUUCCAAUGCACAAUCCAUUAGGUCCUUCUGUUAUUACUUUAUUAUUAGAUGAUGCACCUUUGCCUUCAAAAGAUUCUGUUUUACGUUUAUCACAUAUGUUUCAAUUGUCUCAAACAUUCGGAAAAAUACAAAUCAGUGCAACACAACAGCGAAAUAUUUGUGUGGUUUUAGGCUGCAUUGCAGAAAAAUUAGCUGGUCCUAGUAGUAUAGCGAUAUUAUCUGAUGCUACGUUAGAUUAUCUUAUUUCAAAUCUUAGAAACGAUAAUGAACCUUAUGUGGUACUAUAUUCUUUAAUCGCUUUAGAAAAAUUUGCCCAAACGAGUGAAAAUAAAAUAACGAUUAAGAAACGCCUUUCAGCAGAAGAACAAAAUCCACUAUUAGAAUUGGAAAAAUGGGCUACAAAUCGUCACUAUGUAAAACGCCAAGUUGGUUUUUGUGCGCAAUGGUGCCUGGAUAAUUUAUUUUUAAUGGAAGGUAGAAAGUAUUCUUAUGAUACUGUUGAUAUGACUGGCAUUAAUGUUAUGUUAAAUACAAAAGAUGUAAGCGAGUACCUGAAAAUAUCACCAAAUGGUUUGGAGGCCCGUUGUGAUGCAUAUUCAUUUGAAAGUGUAAGAUGUACGUUUCAAGUAGAUUCGGGAGUUUGGUAUUAUGAAACACUUAUAAUUACUACAGGAGUGAUGCAAAUUGGUUGGGCAACAAAAGAUAGUACUUUCUUAAAUCAUGAAGGUUAUGGUAUAGGAGAUGAUGAAUUUUCAUUAGCUUGUGAUGGCUGUCGAAGACUGAUAUGGUAUAAUGCUAAAAGUGAGCAAUAUAAUGAUAGACCUAGUUGGAGAGCUGGAGAUAUUUUAGGAUGUUUAUUGGAUUUAAAUAAACAAGAAAUAAUAUUUGCUAUAAAUGGAGUACGAAUAAAGCCGUGUAAUCAAGUUUUCAAGACUGUGAAGUCUGGAUUUUUUGCAGCAGCUAGUUUCAUGUCAUUCCAACAAUGCCGUUUUAAUUUUGGGAAUGUACCCUUUAUAUUUCCUCCCACUGAUAGGGUGUAUCAAAAAUUUAAUGAUUAUGCUACAUUAAAUCCAGAAGAUAAAAUUGUGCUGCCUAGACAUAUAUAUGUAGACCGUUUGAGAAGAAUUAGUGUUAUGGAAGACUCGUGUACUUUAUGUUUCGAUCAGAAGGCCUCAAUAAGAUUACUACCAUGUAAUCAUAGAGGUUUUUGUCACAUAUGUUCAAAACAAUUGGUUGAAUGCCCUAUGUGUAGAGCUACAAUCGAUGAAAUGGUUUCUGAUGGUAUAUGACACUUAACCAGCAAAGCCAUACUUGCUAACAAAAUAUUUAUACUAUAUCUGUUAUAUUACUUCACACUGAGAUGUUAUCAGGAAAUACUAACGAAAAUAGAAGAUACGCGUACGUACGAAACAGAUUAUGUGAAGUAGAAACGUUGCCAUGAUGGAAUAGAUAAACAUAUAAGUUAAAUACGAUAUGGGGUAAUGAAAAAAUGGUCUGAAGAAUUCAAUUUAAUGAAAUCUAACAUACGUGGAAUGCAGUCGUGAUAUUAUAUGCAAUUCUCUAUAUGUAGCAUAGUAUUUUGAUAGAAGAGAAUUAUGGUUUUCAACCAUGGAAUAUUCCCCUCCCCCAAAAAAAAAAACUUUAUCAUAAUUAUGAGGCCUUCUCCUGUAACUGUGACUUUUAAUACGAUUAAUGAUAAUGCUACGUUUUAAUUAAGCUAUACAAGUCAAGAUGCAGAAUCACGUCAAUAGUAAAUGUUACAAUUUCUGCACCAUCGAUUAUUUAUUUAUUCUUUUUCUCAUUGAUCAACUAUCAAUGAUCAAAUAACUUUUCGAGUAGAUUAAAUUAUACAUUAUUCUUGGUAAUUUUUAAAACAUUAAAAUCAUUAUUAAUUAUUAAUUGACUUUGGUGGCUUAGAAAAAGUAACACAUGCUACUUAUAUUAUUCUGCUUCAUAUUUUAGGUAGGUUUUACCUACACAAAUAUUGUUAAUUAAAUAUUUUUAAUAUUUUUAAUUAAAUGCCUAAUUGUAAAUGAUAACACACAUAGAUAAAUACAUAUUUUUUUCUACACUAAAGCAUUAUAAAA